RNAcentral lists this ribosomal RNA (468 nucleotides) under uncultured bacterium. Its description in RNAcentral is "partial 16S ribosomal RNA". It matches the Rfam family "Bacterial small subunit ribosomal RNA", at positions 28 to 507 of the family's 1533-position model. The record is from RNAcentral.
GACGAACGCUGGCGGCGUGCUUAACACAUGCAAGUCGAACGGAAAGGCCCUGCUUUCGUGGGGUGCUCGAGUGGCGAACGGGUGAGUAACACGUGAGUAACCUGCCCUUGACUUUGGGAUAACUUCAGGAAACUGGGGCUAAUACCGGAUAGGAGCUCCUGCUGCAUGGUGGGGGUUGGAAAGUUUCGGCGGUUGUGGAUGGACUCGGGGCUUAUCAGCUUGUUGGGGGGGGAGUGGCCUACCAAGGCAUUGACGGGUAGCCGGCCUGGGAGGGUGACCGGCCACAUUGGGACUGAGAUACGGCCCAGACUCCUACGGGAGGCAGCAGUGGGGAAUAUUGCACAAUGGGCGGAAGCCUGAUGCAGCAACGCCGCGUUCGGGAUGACGGCCUUCGGGUUGUAAACCGCUUUCGCCUGUGACGAAGCGUGAGUGACGGUAAUGGGUAAAGAAGCACCGGCUAACUACGUG